CUUCUCUUGAGAGCGGCGGACGGGUGAGUAAUGCCUAGGAAUCUGCCUGGUAGUGGGGGAUAACGUUCGGAAACGGACGCUAAUACCGCAUACGUCCUACGGGAGAAAGCAGGGGACCUUCGGGCCUUGCGCUAUCAGAUGAGCCUAGGUCGGAUUAGCUAGUUGGUGAGGUAAUGGCUCACCAAGGCGACGAUCCGUAACUGGUCUGAGAGGAUGAUCAGUCACACUGGAACUGAGACACGGUCCAGACUCCUACGGGAGGCAGCAGUGGGGAAUAUUGGACAAUGGGCGAAAGCCUGAUCCAGCCAUGCCGCGUGUGUGAAGAAGGUCUUCGGAUUGUAAAGCACUUUAAGUUGGGAGGAAGGGUUGUAGAUUAAUACUCUGCAAUUUUGACGUUACCGACAGAAUAAGCACCGGCUAACUCUGUGCCAGCAGCCGCGGUAAUACAGAGGGUGCAAGCGUUAAUCGGAAUUACUGGGCGUAAAGCGCGCGUAGGUGGUUCGUUAAGUUGGAUGUGAAAGCCCCGGGCUCAACCUGGGAACUGCAUUCAAAACUGACGAGCUAGAGUAUGGUAGAGGGUG
This 581-nucleotide ribosomal RNA is filed under the name Pseudomonas sp. SA030. RNAcentral describes it as "bacterial SSU rRNA". It matches the Rfam family "Bacterial small subunit ribosomal RNA", at positions 83 to 660 of the family's 1533-position model. The record is from RNAcentral. Lineage: Bacteria; Pseudomonadati; Pseudomonadota; Gammaproteobacteria; Pseudomonadales; Pseudomonadaceae.